GACGAACGCUGGCGGUCUGCUUAACACAUGCAAGUCGAACGCAAGUAGCAAUACUUGAGUGGCGGACGGGUGAGUAACGCGUGAGAAUCUGCCUUUUGGUCGGGGACGACCACUGGAAACGGUGGCUAAUACCGGAUAUGCCUAACGGUGAAAGAUUAAUUGCCAGAAGAAGAGCUCGCGUCUGAUUAGCUAGUUGGUGAGGUAAGAGCUCACCAAGGCAUCGAUCGGUAGCUGGUCUGAGAGGAUGAUCAGCCACACUGGGACUGAGACACGGCCCAGACUCCUACGGGAGGCAGCAGCGGGGAAUUUUCCGCAAUGGGCGAAAGCCUGACGGAGCAAGACCGCGUGAGGGAGGAAGGCUCUUGGGUUGUAAACCUCUUUUGUCAGGGAAGAACACAAUGACGGUACCUGAAGAAUCAGCAUCGGCUAACUCCGUGCCAGCAGCCGCGGUAAUACGGGGGACGCAAGCGUUAUCCGGAAUUAUUGGGCGUAAAGCGUCCGCAGGUGGCUAAUCAAGUCUGCUGUCAAAGGUUGGGGCUUAACCCCAAAAAGGCAGUGGAAACUGAGAAGCUAGAGUGCAGUAGGGGUAGAGGGAAUUCCCGGUGUAGCGGUGAAAUGCGUAGAGAUCGGGAAGAACAUCGGUGGCGAAAGCGCUCUACUGGACUGCAACUGACACUCAGGGACGAAAGCUAGGGGAGCGAAUGGGAUUAGAUACCCCAGUAGUCCUAGCCGUAAACGAUGGAUACUAGGUGUGGCUUGUAUCGACCCGAGCCGUGCCGUAGCUAACGCGUUAAGUAUCCCGCCUGGGGAGUACGCACGCAAGUGUGAAACUCAAAGGAAUUGACGGGGGCCCGCACAAGCGGUGGAGUAUGUGGUUUAAUUCGAUGCAACGCGAAGAACCUUACCAGGGCUUGACAUGUCGCGAAUCCUCUUGAAAGAGAGGAGUGCCUUCGGGAGCGCGAACACAGGUGGUGCAUGGCUGUCGUCAGCUCGUGUCGUGAGAUGUUGGGUUAAGUCCCGCAACGGGCGCAACCCUCGUCUUUAGUUGCCAGCAUUAAGUUGGGCACUCUAGAGAGACUGCCGGUGACAAACCGGAGGAAGGUGGGGAUGACGUCAAGUCAGCAUGCCCCUUACGCCCUGGGCUACACACGUACUACAAUGCGACGGACAAAGGGCAGCAAGCCAGCGAUGGCAAGCAAAUCCCAUAAACCGUGGCUCAGUUCAGAUCGUAGGCUGCAACUCGCCUACGUGAAGGAGGAAUCGCUAGUAAUUGCAGGUCAGCAUACUGCAGUGAAUUCGUUCCCGGGCCUUGUACACACCGCCCGUCACACCAUGGAAGUUGGCCACGCCCGAAGUCGUUACCCUAACCUGAAAAGGAGGGGGACGCCGAAGGCAGGGCUGAUGACUGGGGUG
Molecule: ribosomal RNA, 1413 nt
Filed under: uncultured cyanobacterium
Lineage: Bacteria; Bacillati; Cyanobacteriota
Description: bacterial SSU rRNA
Rfam family: Bacterial small subunit ribosomal RNA
Source: RNAcentral